Molecule: long non-coding RNA, 690 nt
Organism: Drosophila mojavensis
Lineage: Eukaryota; Metazoa; Arthropoda; Insecta; Diptera; Drosophilidae
Exons: 4
Source: RefSeq, a predicted model, not a curated record
UCAUGGUAUCAAAACAUUUGUGUGACUUCGACAUUGUGUCUCUCUCUGUCUUAGCAGCAUUUGUGUCGCUGCUACGUAAGCACUAAUCACUGAUAAAUAGAAACAUAUAUGUAUAUAUUUCUAACAGCGUCUUUGAAUGUUUAAAUUUGUUGUCAUUAUUUCGCAUUUUUCGGCACGUCGUAAUAAUUCGACAUCCUAAUGGGAGAGAGCCCCCUUCAUUUGAGUCGGCACCAGCAAUCCCUGCCGGCUGGAGAAUCCAUCCCGCAGGCACUUCACUGGACGAACGGGAGCUAGAAGGGCGGCGACUACCGCGCAGAACGACAUUGGGUUGGGUUGCAUUGCCGACGCCGAGGGGGAUCGCGCGGCCAAGAUGUGGAGGCGGCUGAAGAGCGCGAAGAUGAUCAUUAGUUAGUGAGCGGUCGAGAACAGCGGCUGGAAUAUCCGAAAAAGUAAUAUCUUACGUUGGAACCAAUUUAAUUUGCUUGCCCUCGUGCUUAGAACAACAAAUAAGUUUUGUGGGCUCGACUGAAGACCUAAAUUCCGGAAAGGACUUUACCGUUGAAAUUCAAAUCGCCAGUCCACCUUCAGCAAGAUUUUACCGUAUAGUUACACAAACAAAAUUAGACCUUAUUGUAUCAAUUGGAGGUGUUAUCGGACUUUUUAUUGGAGCAUCUUUACUAAACAUUAUAG